UACGGGGGGGGCAAGCGUUGUUCGGAAUUACUGGGCGUAAAGGGCUCGUAGGCGGCCUACUAAGUCAGACGUGAAAUCCCUCGGCUUAACCGGGGAACUGCGUCUGAUACUGGAUGGCUUGAGGUUGGGAGAGGGAUGCGGAAUUCCAGGUGUAGCGGUGAAAUGCGUAGAUAUCUGGAGGAACACCGGUGGCGAAGGCGGCAUCCUGGACCAAUUCUGACGCUGAGGAGCGAAAGCCAGGGGAGCAAACGGG
RNAcentral lists this ribosomal RNA (253 nucleotides) under uncultured bacterium. Its description in RNAcentral is "partial 16S ribosomal RNA". It matches the Rfam family "Bacterial small subunit ribosomal RNA", at positions 524 to 776 of the family's 1533-position model. The record is from RNAcentral.